This 9670-nucleotide long non-coding RNA is filed under the name Salmo salar (Atlantic salmon). RNAcentral's name for it is "lncRNA (ENSSSAG00000108032.1)". Lineage: Eukaryota; Metazoa; Chordata; Actinopteri; Salmoniformes; Salmonidae. The record is from RNAcentral.
CAGCCAUGCUAAACCCUAUAGCCGCUGAGUUAAUUUUUUUGUUCUUUUGAGUGUAAACUUGUCAGUAUAGUUAGCUAAUCAUACUGUCUUCACUGUAUUUUGUACCGAGGCCCGGAUCAAACUUUAAAAAGGCAGAAGAGACUUCUGAUCUCAGACUGACUCAGACAUGGAGGAAGAGGAGUCAGGACCUCACAGUGGUACCACCGUGACAGCAGCACAACCCGACGGCGCUGUCUCCCUGUGAAUACGACGGGUGCUGUUUCCCUGUGAAUACGACGGGCGCUGUUUCCCUGUGAAUACGACGGGUGCUGUCUCCCUGUGAAUACGACGGGUGCUGUUUCCCUGUGAAUACGACGGGUGCUGUCUCCCUGUGAAUACGACGGGUGCUGUCUCCCUGUGAAUACGACGGGUGCUGUCUCCCUGUGAAUACGACGGGUGCUGUUUCCCUGUGAAUACGACGGGUGCUGUUUCCCUGUGAAUACGACGGGUGCUGUUUCCCUGUGAAUACGACGGGUGCUGUUUCCCUGUGAAUACGACGGGCGCUGUUUCCCUGUGAAUACGACGGGUGCUGUUUCCCUGUGAAUACGACGGGUGCUGUUUCCCUGUGAAUACGACGGGUGCUGUUUCCCUGUGAAUACGACGGGUGCUGUUUCCCUGUGAAUACGACGGGUGCUGUUUCCCUGUGAAUACUGUGCAGGAUGUGGAGGCGAUGGAGCAAAAGUUACUCGACACAGCUUUCCUGAAUGGAGUGGUAGCUGCUAUGAAUGGGAUGUUUAUCAAAAUAUUUAUUGUAGUAUUUUGUUUAUUUAGUCCAUUGUUAAUAUAAUCCCAACAAUCGUGCAUGUUAGCAAAUCAAGUUUUCAAGAUGGAGCACUUUCAGUACAGAGCAAACAGUGAUGAUGACACAAAUGAGAAACAUUAUUAUAAUUAUUAUCAUAUCAUUAGCAUCAUCCCUCUCAUUGGCUCUAUACUGCAGUGUUUCCUGGUCCAGGGGAUCAAAAGGACCUUUGAAUUGAAUAAGGUAUGUGAGUGCUGAGGCAAAAAAACAACAGUGUGCAUCCCUUGGGACCAGGAUUGGGGAACACCGCUGUACUGAAAGUCCAUCUUGAGAACUUCACUGCUGAACAUUUUGGGGGAUUUUAUACAGGGUGAGGAAACUAAGGUGUACGUUUUUUGUAAUUUGAUUGAACUAUCCCUUGAUCUGAAAAAAUGUGGUAUAAAUAAACCUGCUCAGAUCAGGGCUACUGUUUAUGAGAUGAUGAUGAUGAUGAUGAUGAUGAUAGGACCAGAUACUACUUGACACGUGUAAAAGGUCUCCCCUCACCUGGUUGUCUAGGUCUCUCCUCACCUGGUUGUCUAGGUCUCAGUAAGGAACUCCCCUCACCUGGUUGUCCAGGUCUCAGUAAGGAACUCCCCUCACCUGGUUGUCUAGGUCUCAGUAAGGACCUCUCCUCACCUGGUUGUCUAGGUCUCAGUAAGGAACUCCCCUCACCUGGUCGUCCAGGUCUCAGUAAGGAACUCCCCUCACCUGGUUGUCUAGGUCUCAGUAAGGACCUCUCCUCACCUGGUUGUCUAGGUCUCAGUAAGGAACUCUCCUCACCUGGUUGUCUAGGUCUCAGUAAGGAACUCCCCUCACCUGGUUGUCUAGGUCUCAGUAAGGACCUCUCCUCACCUGGUUGUCUAGGUCUCUCCUCACCUGGUCGUCUAGGUCUCAGUAUGGAACUCUCCUCACCUGGUUGUCUAGGGCUCAGUAAGGAACUCUCCUCACCUGGUUGUCCAGGUCUCAGUAAGGAACUCCCCUCACCUGGUUGUCUAGGUGUCAGUAAGGAACUCUCCUCACCUGGUUGUCUAGGUCUCCCCUCACCUGGUUGUCUAGGUCUCAGUAAGGAACUCUCCUCACCUGGUUGUCCAGGUCUCAGUAAGGAACUCUCCUCACCUGGUUGUCUAGGUCUCAGUAAGGAACUCUCCUCACCUGGUUGUCUAGGUCUCAGUAAGGAACUCCCCUCACCUGGUUGUCUAGGUCUCAGUAAGGAACUCUCCUCACCUGGUUGUCUAGGUCUCAGUAAGGAACGCCCCUCACCUGGUUGUCUAGGUCUCAGUAAGGAACUCUCCUCACCUGGUUGUCUAGGUCUCAGUAAGGAACUCCCCUCACCUGGUUGUCUAGGUCUCAGUAAGGAACUCCCCUCACCUGGUUGUCUAGGUCUCAGUAAGGAACUCCCCUCACCUGGUUGUCUAGGUCUCAGUAAGGAACUCUCCUCACCUGGUCGUCUAGGUCUCAGUAAGGAACUCUCCUCACCUGGUCGUCUAGGUCUCAGUAAGGAACUCUCCUCACCUGGUUGUCUAGGUCUCAGUAAGGAACUCCCCUCACCUGGUUGUCUAGGUCUCCCCUCACCUGGUUGUCUAGGUCUCAGUAAGGAACUCUCCUCACCUGGUUGUCUAGGUCUCAGUAAGGAACUCUCCUCACCUGGUUGUCUAGGUCUCAGUAAGGAACUCUCCUCACCUGGUUGUCUAGGUCUCAGUAAGGACCUCCCCUCACCUGGUUGUCUAGGUCUCAGUAAGGAACUCUCCUCACCUGGUUGUCUAGGUCUCCCCUCACCUGGUUGUCUAGGUCUCAGUAAGGAACUCUCCUCACCUGGUUGUCUAGGUCUCAGUAAGGAACUCCCCUCACCUGGUUGUCUAGGUCUCAGUAAGGAACUCCCCUCACCUGGUUGUCCAGGUCUCAGUAAGGAACUCCCCUCACCUGGUUGUCUAGGUCUCCCCUCACCUGUUUGUCUAGGUCUCCCCUCACCUGGUUCUCUAGGUCUCAGUAAGGAACUCCGGUCACCUGGUUGUCUAGGUCUCAGUAAGGAACUCUCCUCACCUGGUUAUCUAGGUGUCAGUAAGGAACUCCCCUCACCUGGUUGUCUAGGUCUCUCCUCACCUGGUUGUCUAGGUCUCAGUAAGGAACUCCCCUCACCUGGUUGUCUAGGUCUCAGUAAGGACCACCCCUCACCUGGUUGUCUAGGUCUCAGUAAGGAACACCCCUCACCUGGUUGUCUAGGUCUCAGUAAGGACCUCCCCUCACCUGGUUGUCCAGGUCUCAGUAAGGAACUCCCCUCACCUGGUUGUCUAGGUCUCAGUAAGGAACUCUCUUCACCUGGUUGUCUAGGUCUCAGUAAGGAACUCCCCUCACCUGGUUGUCUAGGUCUCAGUAAGGAACUCUUCUCACCUGGUUGUCUAGGUCUCAGUAAGGAACUCCCCUCACCUGGUUGUCUAGGUCUCAGUAAGGAACUCUCCUCACCUGGUUGUCUAGGUCUCAGUAAGGAACUCCCCUCACCUGGUUGUCUAGGUCUCAGUAAGGAACUCUCCUCACCUGGUUGUCUAGGUCUCAGUAAGGAACUCCCCUCACCUGGUUGUCUAGGUCUCAGUAAGGAACUCCCCUCACCUGGUUGUCUAGGUCUCUCCUCACCUGGUUGUCUAGGUCUCAGUAAGGAACUCUCCUCACCUGGUUGUCUAGGUCUCAGUAAGGAACUCUCCUCACCUGGUUGUCUAGGUCUCAGUAAGGAACUCCCCUCACCUGGUUGUCUAGGUCUCAGUAAGGAACUCCCCUCACCUGGUUGUCUAGGUCUCAGUAAGGAACUCCCCUCACCUGGUUGUCUAGGUCUCAGUAAGGAACUCCCCUCACCUGGUUGUCUAGGUCUCAGUAAGGAACUCUCCUCACCUGGUUGUCUAGGUCUCAGUAAGGAACUCCCCUCACCUGGUUGUCUAGGUCUCAGUAAGGAACUCUCCUCACCUGGUUGUCUAGGUCUCAGUAAGGAACCCCCCUCACCUGGUUGUCUAGGUCUCAGUAAGGAACUCUCCUCACCUGGUUGUCUAGGUCUCAGUAAGGAACUCCCCUCACCUGGUUGUCUAGGUCUCAGUAAGGAACUCCCCUCACCUGGUUGUCUAGGUCUCUCCUCACCUGGUUGUCUAGGUCUCAGUAAGGAACUCUCCUCACCUGGUUGUCUAGGUCUCAGUAAGGAACUCUCCUCACCUGGUUGUCUAGGUCUCCCCUCACCUGGUUGUCUAGGUCUCAGUAAGGAACUCUCCUCACCUGGUUGUCCAGGUCUCAGUAAGGAACUCAGUAAGAGGGGGGGGGGGGCAGUGCCCCUGUGACAACAACUUUGGACCCCCUUGUGGCCCCCCCUAAAUGUGAAGUAUGAAAUAAUUUUUACAUAACACAUUUUUUGCUAUCGUUCUUUUUUUUUUACAUCCGUUAUUAGACAGUGGCAACGCGGAACACUAAUUUAACACAGACAUCUUCUAGAGGGACGGAUUUAGGAUGGAACACAGCAGUAUCGUACCACAUGCAAAACGAUAUGACAACAAUAACGUCUAAUGUAACUGGCCCCCCCUCUAACAGUACAACUGGCCCCUCUAACAGUACAACUGGCCCCUCCCUCUAACAGUACAACUGGCCCCAGCUUGGCCCCCCCUCUAACAGUACAACUGGCCCCAGCUUGGCCCCCCCUCUAACAGUACAGCUGGCCCCCCCCUCUAACAGUACAACUGGCCCCUCUAACAGUACAACUGGCCCCAGCUUGGCCCCCCCUCUAACAGUACAACUGGCCCCUCUAACAGUACAGCUGGCCCCUCCCUCUAACAGUACAACUGGCCCCCUCUAACAUACAACUGGCCCCUCUAACAGUACAACUGGCCCCAGCUUGGCCCCCCCUCUAACAGUACAACUGGCCCCAGCUUGGCCCCCCCUCUAACAGUACAACUGGCCCCCUCUAACAGUACAACUGGCCCCUCUAACAGUACAACUGGCCCCCUCUAACAGUACAACUGGCCCCAGCUUGGCCCCCCCUCUAACAGUACAACUGGCCCCUCUAACAGUACAACUGGCCCCAGCUUGGCCCCCUCCCUAGUUGAAAUGGUCUAGAACGGCCACUGAGUAGACCCUCCAUGGAAUGAGUUUGACACCCUUGCUGUAUGGUAACUAAUUGUCACACAAGCUAAUAAAUAUAAUAAACCUAAUAAUAAUAAUAAUAAUAAUAAUAAAAACCUAAUAAAUGUUUUAUAAUAACCAUCAUCUGUGAGACUAGCUGGGACGUUCUGUAUAAUACCACUUCAAUAUUAUCAAGUCGCUAUCGUCGUCCAUGUACCUUCUGCUGUUUCAUUGAUACUUUGUUGUCUGAUCAAUUCAAUCCGUCAUGUACAUGUAAUUACCAGAAUAAAGGAAACAUCCAAAAAUAAAGUGUUUUCACACACAUUAAGGAAAGCACGCAUGCACACACCGUACACACACAAGCACAGAGUAAUGUGUCAGAGUGGUGAAGUCAUCGAUGACGUCAUAAUAUGCUCCCUACGUGUAACUGCCAGAAUAAAGGAAACCCUAACAGAAAGUGUUUUUUUAAUAGGGCUUUUGGGCGCCACCACCAACCAGAACAGCUUCAAUGAGCCUUGGCAUGGAUUCUACAAGUGGAACUCUAUUGGAGGGAUGUGACAUCAUUCUUCUAUGAGAAAUUCCAUCAUUUGGUGUUUUUGUUGGCGGUGGAGAACGCCGUCUCAGGCGCCGCUCCAGAAUCUCCCCGAGGGGUGCGUCACUUGAGUGGGUGGAGUCACUGACGUGGUAUUCCUGUCCAGGUUGGCGCCCCUCCCCCCCCGGGUUCAUGCCGUGGCGGAGAUCUUCAUGUACUAUACUCGGCCUUGUCUCAGGAUGGUAAGUUGGUGGUUGAAGAUAUCCCUCUAGUGGUGUGGGGGCUGUGCUUUGGCAAAGAGGGUGGGGUUAUAUCCUGCCUGUUUGGCCCUGUCCGGGGGUAUCGUCGGACGGGGCCACAGUGUCUCCCAACCCCUCCUGUCUCAGCCUCCAGCAUUUAUGCUGCAAUAGCUUGUGUCGGGGGGAUAGGGCCAGUCUGUUAUAUCUGGAGUGUUUCUUCUAUCUUAUCCGGUGUCCUGUGUGAAUUUAACUAUGCUCCCUCUAAUUCUCUCUCUUUCUUUCUCUCUCUCGGAGGACCUGAGCCCUAGGACCGUGCCUCAGGGCUACCUGGCCUGAUGACUCCUUGCUGUCCCCAGUCCACCUGGACGUGCUGCUGCUCCAGUUUCAACUGUUCUGCCUGCGGCUAUGGAACCCUGACCUGUUCACCGGACGUGCUACCUGUCCCAGACCUGCUGUCCCAGACCUGCUGGAACCCUGACCAGUUCACCGGACGUGCUACCUGUCCCAGACCUGCUGUUUUCAACUCUCUAGAAACAGCAGGAGCGGUAGAGAUACUCUCAAUGAUCGGCUAUGAAAAGUCGACUGACAUUGGUCAGGCAGGUGACCAAGAACCUGAUGGUCACUCUGACAGAGCUCCAGGGUUCCUCUGUGGAGGUGGGAGAACCUUCCAGAAGAACAACCAUCUCUGCAGCACUCCACCAAUCAGGCCUUUAUGGUAGAGUGGCCAGAUGGAAGUCACUCCUCAGUAAAAGGCACAUGACAGCCCGCUUGGAGUUUGCCAAAAGGGACCUAAAGACUCUCAGACCAUGAGAAACAAGAUUCUUUGGUCUGAUGAAACCAAGAUUAAACUUUUUGACCUGAAUGCCAAGCUUCACGUCUGGAGGAAACCUGACACCAUCCCUACGGUGAAGCAUGGUGGCGGCAGCAUCAUGCUGUGGGGAAGUAUUUCAGAGGUAGGAUCGAGGCAAAGAUGAACGGAGAAAAGUACAGAGAGAUCCUUGAUGAAAACCUGCUCCAGAGCGCUCAGGACCUCAGACUGGGGCGAAUGUUCACCUUCCAACAGGACACCGACCCUAAGCACAUAGCCAAAACAACGCAGGAGUGGCUUCGGGACAAGUCUCUGAAUGUCCUUGAGUGGCCCAGCCAGAGCCCGGACUUGAGCCCGAUGGAACAUCUCUGAAGGGAGAGUAAACAGGAUGGUGAUGAAGUCCAGGUGUGAUGGUUGCCAGGACCGUUGGUUAGUAGACCAUCGACGUCGAGCGCCGGCGGGAAGGAGCAGGAGUAGGCGUGCCACGUCAUCGACCGACAGAUUGCUGUAACAUAUGAUGUGGUUAACUGAUAUGUAAAAUACCUAUCCAGGCCCAUUUUGUAUUAUAGCAGUACUUCUCUACAUAUUCACAAACACAGGUGUACACACACACACAGAUUAUUUCAAACUUUUUUAUUACUCGACACAUGGAGGAAUCACAACGUUUAAUAUACAAACGUUUUGGAACCUUUCAAAAAACAAAACACGUUUUUAUCCAUGCGACAGACAGUUUAGAGAGGAGGGGCUUAUUCAACGAAAAGGAUCCCCAGACAGUUUAGAGAGGAGGGGCUUAUUCAACGAAAAGGAUCCCCAGACCGUUUAGAGAGGAGGGGCUUAUUCAACGAAAAGGAUCCCAAAUGGCACCCUAUUAUUCCCUAUGUAGUGUACUACUUUCAAAGUAAUGCACUAUAUAAUGCACUAUAUGCAAAAUUCAAAAGUAGUGGACGAUAUAGGGAAUAGGGUGCUGUUUUGGGAUGCAAACAAAAUGUUUCUGGAAUAUUAUGUGUUGAUUCCAGACAGUUCUGUAGUUGUACUCCUCUUGGAACAUGAGGAAAAGAGCGGAACCUUCUGGAGUCCUUAAAGUUCUGUUCCUUUGCCAGUUAGUUAGUCCUGGUCUAACGACACUUGUCUUUAGAGUUCCAAAAAAAGAACCCUUGUUAUAAUCCAUGAUAACAUCAUCCAUGGUCCAACGGUUCGCCCUGGUAUUGUCCUGGUAUUGUCCUGGUUUUAGACCUUGUAUUGUCCUGGUAUUGUCCUGGUAUUAGACCUGGUAUUGUCCUGGUUUUAGACCUGGUAUUGUCCUGGUAUUGUCCUGGUUUUGUCCUGGUAUUGUCCUGGUUUUGUCCUGGUAUUGUCCUGGUUUUAGACCUGGUAUUGUCCUAGUUUUAGACCUGGUAUUGUCCUGGUAUUGUCCUGGUAUUGUCCUGGUUUUAGACCUGGUAUUGUCCUGGUUUUAGACCUGGUAUUGUCCUGGUUUUGUCCUGGUAUUGUCCUGGUUUUAGACCUGGUAUUGUCCUGGUUUUGUCCUGGUAUUGUCCUGGUUUUAGACCUGGUAUUGUCCUAGUAUUGUCCUGGUUUUAGACCUGGUUCGCCCUGGUAUUGUCCUGGUUUUGUCCUGGUAUUGUCCUGGUAUUGUCCUGGUUUUAGACCUGGUAUUGUCCUGGUUUUGUCCUGGUUUUAGACCUGGUUCGCCCUGGUAUUGUCCUGGUUUUAGACCUGGUAUUGUCCUGGUUUUGUCCUGGUAUUGUCCUGGUUUUAGACCUGGUUAAAGGGUCAGCCCAGAGUUGAAGAACGGUCUGGAGUUAGAGGUGAGGCAAUAAAGAUCCAUAGUUUCAAAUAGGGAGAAGUCCUGGUAGUAUAGUAGUAGUAGUAGUAGUAGUAGUGUAGUCCACUGUAGUAUAGUAGUAGUGUAGUCCACUGUAGUAUAGUAGUAGUAGUGGUAGUGUAGUUCACUGUAGUAUAGUAGUAGUAGUGUAGUCCACUGUAGUAUAGUAGUAGUGUAGUCCACUUUAGUAUAGUAGUAGUAGUGUAGUCCACUGUAGUAUAGUAGUAGUAGUGGUAGUAGUAGUGUAGUUCACUGUAGUAGUAGUGGUAGUAGUAGUAGUGUAGUUCACUGUAGUAGUAGGAGUAGUAGUAGUGUAGUUCACUGUAGUAGUAGUGUAGUCCACUGUAGUAUAGUAGUAGUAGUAGUGGUAGUGUAGUCCACUGUAGUAUAGUAGUAGUAGUAGUAGUAGUGGUAGUGUAGUCCACUGUAGUAUAAUAGUAGUAGUAGUGUAGUUCACUGUAGUAUAGUAGUAGUAGUGUAGUUCACUGUAGUAUAGUAGUAGUAGUGUAGUAUAUUAGUAGUAGUAGUGUAGUCCACUGUAGUGUAGUAGUAGUGUAGUAGUGUAGUCCACUGUAGUAUAGUAGUAGUGUAGUAGUGUAGUCCACUGUAGUGUAGUAGUGUAGUCCACAGUAGUGUAGUAGUAGUGUAGUCCACUGUAGUAUAGUAGUAGUGUAGUUCACUGUAGUAUAGUAGUAGUGUAGUAGUUUAGUCCAAUGUAUUAUAGUAGUAGUGUAGUAGUGUAGUCCACUGUAGUAUAGUAGUAGUGUAGUAGUGUAGUCCACUGUAGUGUAGUAGUAGUGUAGUCCACUGUAGUGUAGUAGUAGUGUAGUAGUGUAGUUGGUUGGACCACUGACUGUAAAGUCUCCAAGUUGGGGUAAGGAGGUAUAAGAGCUGUCUGUCUGUCUGAGGAGGGGAAUAAGUGCUAAUGUGGUCCCAUUAGAGUGGGGUUGUGGUCCCAUUGGAGUGGGGUUGUGGUCCCAUUGGAGUGGGGUUGUGGUCCCAUUGAAGUGGGGUUGUGGUCCCAUUGGAGUGGGGUUGUGGUCCCAUUGGAGUGGGGUUGUGGUCCCAUUGAAGUGGGGUUGUGGUCCCAUUGGAGUGAGGUUGUGGUCCCAUUGGAGUGGGGUUGUGGUCCCAUUGGAGUGGGGUUGUGGUCCCAUUGGACUGGGGUUGUGGUCCCAUUGAAGUGGGGUUGUGGUCCCAUUGAAGUGGGGUUGUGGUCCCAUUGGAGUGGGGUUGUGGUCCCAUUGGAGUGGGGUUGUGGUCCCAUUGGAGUGGGGUUGUGGUCCCAUUGGAGUGGGGUUGUGGUCCCAUUGGAGUGGGGUUAUGGUCCCAUUGGAGUGGGGUUGUGGUCCCAUUG